Long non-coding RNA from Triticum aestivum (bread wheat), 1916 nucleotides. RefSeq lists it as uncharacterized. The transcript has 3 exons. The record is from RefSeq and is a predicted model, not a curated record. Lineage: Eukaryota; Viridiplantae; Streptophyta; Magnoliopsida; Poales; Poaceae.
UCCGGCCGCCCUCUUCCUCCCUGUUCCCUCCCAUCCCUCCUACUACAGCCAGGGCUGUAGCCGCCCUCUUCUCUCCCCGUACCCCUCUUCCUCCCUGUUCCUUCCCACCCCUUCUCCCGCAGGCUCCAGCUGUGGUGGUGGGGGUGAGCAGCUGCCGUCCGGUGGCCUGGGGAGUGAGGAGGGCGCCGUUCUAAAGCACGAGAGCUCGGCGCAUGGCGACAGUAUAGAUCGGCUACAGCGGCGGCGACGGCCCAACGGCGAAAGGGGAUGGCUGCAUGAUGAUCUUGUUCUGAUCAAUUCUGAAAUAGGAAUGGAGGACUACUAUGGGUCGCUGUUGAGGAUGCUGGGUUACCUGACAGUAGUUUACUUGCCAGAUUUUAAAUUGGAGCUUAGCAUGAACUGAAGAGAGGAUACUUCAACAUGUAUGUGCUGAAAGGCAAAUUAACUUGGAAGUUUAUUGUAACUGGUACACAGUAUUGGCAUUAAAAGCGCGAGCGCUGUGAGGGAAGCCAAGCAAGUUCCUGCUAGAUCGUGAAGAAAUACACUUUGUCUUAUGAGAUCAUCCUGAUUGUCAUCAAAAGCAAAGGUCCCUAAACAAGCAAAUUGCAUUUAUGUGCUCUGACAUCUUCGUGUUACUUUUAGUGGGAAGCAGUACAAAGUGUCAAUUUCACAUGCCAAUACUAAUUAUUCACCUAGCUUAUGCAAAUUAUCCAGCAUUUUCCGUUCAGAUAUGAUCUGCUGCAAACACCAUAAGUCACCACUCACCAGCACAUGACCGUUCCCUCUAGAACUUUGACCGUCGUGUCAUUUGAUGGAGAAAGAACAAGAUGGCCGAGCGACAAACUGAACAACGCCGGAAAGCUGCAACAAACGAGUGGUGGCAGCGCAUACACUUGUUGAGCUGUGGAGGCACCCAUUAGCCACCCACCCACCCAUGGAACAGAGAUUGAUAUAUUGAAGUUUGUAAUGGCUAAUGGCCAAACAUAUGAAUCUGUUCUUGAUACUCCUUUUCCCUUUUCUUAAUAUCAUCACAUAAAAAUUAGAAGCUUUCUAACAUAUGCAUAUUUCAGGUUUCAGAAGAGGUGGAGAAAGAGUUGUUCAGACAAUUCAGUGCAGAAGCAACACCUCCAAGGUGAGAAAUAUGUUUCUGUUUAGCCUUCUUUGCUAGCUAUGUUCCUCUGUUUUUUUACUGAACUGUGCUCCUCUGUUUGGAUGAUUAUUGGAGAGAAAGAGAGAUGAUAUGGAGACCACGAGUAUGUGUGUAUGGAUCGUGGAGUGGUAGAUUUUGGGCCAAAUACAUUAUAACCGGCAACCAACUUGAUAAACAGAUUCAUUACCCUCUCCUUUGAAAUGAAUUUUUGCUUGGAACAUUUCUUAUUUCUUUAUCUGUUAGUGCUUGAUUCUAUCUCUGCUCUGUCUGAGGCCACCGGCGCCGAUGUGACCGAGGUGGAGGCGACCAGCAAGAGGGAGGCUAGCGCGACCAAUUUCCUCGAGCUGUUCAACUUAUUAGUCCUUGCAAUUCCAAAUUCACAUAGGUAUGUAGGCUGUAACGGCACCGCUGUAGCCAUCGCUGCCUUCUCCAAUCCUUGGUAGCAGAUUAAUGCAUAGUAGGUGAGUGCUUCAGGCUGUAGAUUUGGCUCGCUUCCUGAGUACCUCAUGUCUCAUGUGGUUAAAGCUAUGCGAGUAAUUAUGAAGGCUUGAUCACCAGGAAACAUCCAUGUCAAUUAUGUGUUUGCUGAAUUUCCUUAAGCAUAUGGGAUUCAGUUGUUUGAUGAAUUGCCCCCAAAAGGUUUUGAUGAAUUUCCUUAAGUAGGCUUCUUUUCAUAGUUAAUUUCAGUAGAUCUUGCUUUAUCUGUACACAUGAAUGUAAGGAUCUGUACAAUUUGUUGAUGGUUUGGCAAGUAAUGUAAAUCUUC